Molecule: long non-coding RNA, 201 nt
Filed under: Theobroma cacao (cacao)
Lineage: Eukaryota; Viridiplantae; Streptophyta; Magnoliopsida; Malvales; Malvaceae
Description: long non-coding RNA (TCAC_LNC006186)
Source: RNAcentral
GGUAUCCAACCAAGUCCGCCAAGGCUGUUAAAAAUUCAUAUUUCGCAUAAAUCAUAUUUUUAUUUUGAAACAUAGCCGUUCCUUGGUGUUGGCUGAGUCUCACUCUCACGCGGUGGUCCACGUGAAGUGCACUCAAAAAGCCCACCUUAGGAGAUACCCUACGCGGCUCUACGACCGAGGUGAGAAUAUAAAGGAGUUUAC